GAGUUUGAUCGUGGCUCAGAGCGAACGCUGGCGGCAGGCCUAACACAUGCAAGUCGAGCGCCCCGCAAGGGGAGCGGCAGACGGGAGAGUAACACGUGGGAACGUACCCUUCAGUUCGGAACAACCCAGGGAAACUUGGGCUAAUACCGGAUACGUCCGUAAGGAGAAAGAUUUAUCGCUGAAGGAUCGGCCCGCGUCUGAUUAGCUAGUUGGUGGGGUAAUGGCCCACCAAGGCGACGAUCAGUAGCUGGUCUGAGAGGAUGAUCAGCCUCACUGGGACUGAGACACGGCCCAGACUCCUACGGGAGGCAGCAGUGGGGAAUAUUGGACAAUGGGCGCAAGCCUGAUCCAGCCAUGCCGCGUGGAUGAUGAAGGCCUUAGGGUUGUAAAGUCCUUUCGGCGGGGAAGAUAAUGACGGUACCCGCAGAAGAAGCCCCGGCUAACUUCGUGCCAGCAGCCGCCGCCGUAAU
Molecule: ribosomal RNA, 470 nt
Filed under: uncultured Alphaproteobacteria bacterium
Lineage: Bacteria; Pseudomonadati; Pseudomonadota; Alphaproteobacteria
Description: bacterial SSU rRNA
Rfam family: Bacterial small subunit ribosomal RNA
Source: RNAcentral